AUAUUACUCCCUCUGUUCGGAAUUACUCGUCUAAAAAAUGAAUGUAUCUAGAUGUAUUUUAUUUGUAGACACAUCUAUUUUUGUGACAAGUAAUUCCGAAUGGAGGGAGUAGAUU
Molecule: non-coding RNA, 115 nt
Organism: Triticum aestivum (bread wheat)
Lineage: Eukaryota; Viridiplantae; Streptophyta; Magnoliopsida; Poales; Poaceae
Source: Rfam